GCCUUUGUGGUGUAGUGGUCAUCACGCUCGACGCGUAUUCGAGAGGUUCGUGGUUCGAGUCCCCGCGAGGGCG
This 73-nucleotide transfer RNA is filed under the name Stegodyphus dumicola. RNAcentral's name for it is "tRNA-Thr". It matches the Rfam family "tRNA". Rfam says of the family: Transfer RNA (tRNA) molecules are approximately 80 nucleotides in length. Their secondary structure includes four short double-helical elements and three loops (D, anti-codon, and T loops). The record is from RNAcentral. Lineage: Eukaryota; Metazoa; Arthropoda; Arachnida; Araneae; Eresidae.